This 460-nucleotide ribosomal RNA is filed under the name uncultured bacterium. RNAcentral describes it as "partial 16S ribosomal RNA". It matches the Rfam family "Bacterial small subunit ribosomal RNA", at positions 338 to 795 of the family's 1533-position model. The record is from RNAcentral.
CCUACGGGGGGCUGCAGUGAGGAAUAUUGGUCAAUGGACGAGAGUCUGAACCAGCCAAGUAGCGUGAAGGAUGACUGCCCUAUGGGUUGUAAACUUCUUUUAUAAAGGAAUAAAACGAGGCACGUGUGCCUUUUUGCAUGUACUUUAUGAAUAAGGAUCGGCUAACUCCGUGCCAGCCGCCGCGGUAAUGCGGAGGAUCCGAGCGUUAUCCGGAUUUAUUGGGUUUAAAGGGAGCGUAGAUGGGUUGUUAAGUCAGGUGUGAAAGUUUGCGGCUCAACCGUAAAAUUGCAAUUGAUACUGGCAGUCUUGAGUACAGUUGAGGUAGGCGGAAUUCGUGGUGUAGCGGUGAAAUGCUUAGAUAUCACGAAGAACCCCGAUUGCGAAGGCAGCUUACUAGACUGUGACUGACAUUGAUGCUCGAAAGUGUGGGUAUCAAACAGGAUUAGAUACCCGUGUAGUC